AUUUAUUCAUUUAUUUUCUAUUUUUAAAAAUGCUUUGGAGAAGCAUCAUUAAGAUACUCUUCAAAUGCUGAGGACUGCUAGAAACAGCUAAUAUAUACCCUGAAGACAUGACUCAUCACCCAACAAGGUGCUUGCUAUUCUGUCCCCAGAAUGCCAUUAUUUCUCAAAUUUUAAAAGGCAAUCUGGUAUUGAAGAAGACUUCUCAAAUAAUAGUCACACAUAAAUAAAUAACUCCACUACUAGAGUUAAUGCGAUGAUAAUAAAUAAUGGGUAAUUUACAAGUCUACUUUGUAAUGUGUUCACUGAAUCAGUGUUUCAUCUGUGACCAAAACAAACUAGAAAUGUCUACUUAAUGUAGCCACCUAUUUUCCCCUCGUGCUUAUCUUGCUUUAUUUGGAGAGGGGAAAUGUCAAUGAGUAAACAUGUAGUCUCAUUAGCAAGACAUUAUAACUUACUCUAUUUUAUUUAUUUUUUGUUUUGUUGUUUUCUUUAUUGUGACUAAACUUAUUACGAGGAAAUGAAGGCAACGUCUCUCUUCCUUAGUUUCUUCACCUGUAAAAACGAAAACGAUGUAUCCACAAUAUUAGUUGUUGUUAUCAUCAUCAUCAAUGUCAUUAUGAUUGCCUUUACCUAAGUUCUUCAGAAAGCAUACUUGGAACACAGAGUUAAGGACAAAUGCUUUAUUCUGGUGUUUAAACCCAGAGAUCAAAUGAGAGUGACAGGGGAAGGAAGCAGAAACAAGAAAGAAGCAAUGCAAAGAUGUCUUCUUUAGUUGGCUACUGAUGGAGGUGAUUGGUUUCUUAAAUUUUAUAGGACCACCUGAGAAACAAUAUAAUCUACACCUUGAAAUCUCAUGUAGGCAGGGUUUGGGUGGGGAGCAUAUAUCUACUGGCUUCUGUCCUUGAUUCCUUACUGUGCCCACAUGGGAUGUUAACUCUCAUUGACCCUCAGGUUGUGAAAAUAUGGACAUCAAGCACAUCCGACUUGGAAAAGCCCAGGGUAAGGAGGGAGGAGGCACACAACACAGACCUGAGACAAACCGUGGUCAGAAGUUACCUACAGGAAGCUGGACAGAGCUUAUGCAGGACCGUUGUUGCCCAAGUGCUGGAAUAAAAGCCAGAGACUACCAUUAUUUACACCAAAAAGAGGUCACAGAAGAUGAUGGUCAAGUUGGUCUAAAUCCUAAGUUAUUUCUCCUCCAGACACCUCAGAAAUGCUGUGUUCACAAAACAGGUAUGCUUUUUUUUCUAGGCUGACUUUUGCUCUCCACUCUACAAAAAUAUAGAUUGAGCACUUAUUGAUGCCAUUUAUCUAGCAAUCACAGACAUAACUGAUUUAUGACAUAUGUCUUAUUACUAUCUGUGACAUUAUUUGAAUAGUUGUUCUUACAUUGAAAAUUAAUAAGUUUAAGUGAUUUCUUCUUCAUGGGCAGGACCUAUGACUUUCUUUUCUUCAUGCCUCCUACAACAUGACAGUGUCUGGGUGUCUAAUUUGAUAUUUCUUAUGUCAAUGAAUUCUAGGGUUUCUCAGACAUGGCACCAUUGACAUUAGUGCUGGAUAAUUAUUUGUUGUAGGGGGCUAUCUUGUGCAUUAUAAGAUAUUUAGCAACACUCUUGGUCUCUAUGUAUGAGAUUCCAGUAGCACUAACAUCCUGACCUGUGUUAUCAUAGCCAAAAAUGUCUUUAGACAUUGCCAAGCGCCCCUGGAGGGAGGGGGGUGAUUCACCCCUCAUUUAUAAACAGAGGCUUACAUGAACAAGGGGUGACAUUCAGCACUUAAUGAAAGUUUAGUCUAAGAGAAUCAGUAUUUAUUUCAUUUAGAUGUUAAUUGACUGUACUUCUCUUGGUCAGACUUCAUCAGGGUGCAAAUACUUCUCUCUUCGAUUCUCUACGCAGGAUUGAAUAUUUUUUUAAUGCUUUCUUCAAAUCCUUUUUUCCCUAAAUCACCUACAUUUUCUUCAUCAAGCUCUAUUUCAUCCUGAUUAAAGCUCUAUCACCUACACGGAGUGGUUCACUCGUAGCUACUGUUAGAUUAGAAGGGAAAGUAAAACCCAUUUCUAGUAGUAUGUGUUAGAUUGUCAUUCCACAUAUCUAAUCACCAAGUUCUAGCAGUUUUAUUUCCUAAACAUCUUUCAAAUCUUUGACUUUACUUCAUCCCUGUUUCAGUCCACUGUCAUGUCUCACUGAGAUCGGUACCCUACUUGUUGGCUCUGGUACUUUCAUAUGGGUGCAAAAAUCAGGUACAUUUAUUGGAAAAGGAAAGGUGUCAAGGAAACUGGUCUUAAAGCUUUAUUUGCUUAAACUUUCAUGUAUAUUUUAAGUUAAAGGUAAUAAAAUAGAGAUGUCAUAAAGAUUUUUACUAAAAAUUUACUAAUCAAGAGAAUGUCAAUUGUCUGUUGACAAUUGUCCAAGGUUAUUAUUAUGGGUAGUAUAGUAAUAGCAGUAAUAACACAGGUAAUUGUAGAAGUAGCUUUGUUUGAGGCAAAUAGUGGGAGUGAGAGUUGAUGAAAACCAACAGUUUUUUUUUUUUGAGACAGAGUCUCGCUCUGUCGCCCAGGCUGGAGUGCAGUGGCGCGAUCUCGGCUCACUGCAAGCUCCGCCUCCCAGGUUCACGCCAUUCUCCUGCCUCAGCCUCCUGAGUAGCUGGGACUACAGGCGCCCGCCACCACGCCCGGCUAAUUUUUUGUAUUUUUAGUAGAGACGGGGUUUCACCGUGGUCUCGAUCUCCUGACCUUGUGAUCCGCCCGCCUCGGCCUCCCAAAGUGCUGGGAUUACAGGCGUGAGCCACCGCGCCUGGCAAAACCAACAGUUUGUUAUCACUCUGGUUGCCCAGUCUUCCAGCAGCCAUUUGGAUGUUCACACUCAUCCUCAUCAUUGAUUCUUCAUUCCUCAGGUAUGAGCUUGUGGAGGGAUUAGUGUAGACUGGACUAAAAAGGUCAUUUUAUCUAUGAUAUGCAUACACACACACACACACGGGUGACAGACGUUAUCGCACAACUUUAAAUUAUGCCAUAUUUGUGUUUUAUUACGAGAGGCAAUGGCCUGUGGUGCCCUGCGAAUUUUUCCAUGUGUUCUAUAAUAUAUUUAGCAUGGCACUAUUUUAUGCCACUGAUCUUUUUGUAUGUGCAUUAAAGUGUUGAUAGUGUAAGUGGAAAUACUUAAAAUAUAUCUCAAGUUUUAGGACAAAUUUUGGCAAUUUUUUAUUUUAAAAAUAUAUACUGUUAACAUGAGAGUGCAUUCUAGGAAAUGGAUGCACGAAAUAGGUUGUUAGAGGUUUUUAAAAUAAAGACACCCUUUGCAUGAUGCCGUAGUGAUAGUUCUUCUGAUCUUUUCAUAUCUCUGAAAUCAUCAUGCACCCUCACCUCUAGUUUAUUUUAUUUGCCUUUCCUGUAAUUGUUGUUCAGUCUUUCCAAGCUGUUUUAUCCAUGAUGCUCCCUAAAGUACAGCGUCAUAUGACAGCUUGCAUGCCGAUAGUUUAUUUUAGGAAGUGAUCCCAAGAAACAGUACUAGGGACUGGAAAGAGUGAGGCAGAGGAAGGGAGAAAACCAAUCCCAGGGUGCUUUAUUCAUCUAAUCGCUACUGUGGACAACUGGAGCUCAAUCAAUCCUACCAGAUACCCUUGAGGACCUGUGUAAAGCGAACCUCAGAACUGUCCAGUUUAGAGAUGACUGAGGGUAGCGUUUAUUCACUACUCUCCUUUUUCCAUUGGUCAAGGAUUGUCCUUGUAGUGUUAGCUCCCUCACACCUCUGAUUUGUGUGUGGGUCAGAAUGACUUAGCGAGUUCUUAAAGGAGUCCCAUGAGGUGGUGGUAAAAAAGCCUCAGGAAUCAGAAUGAGAGAUACAGGAGGCAGCUGAAGCAGCUGUUGUCAGUUUACAAAUGCAUGCAGCUGAUUUUAUAGCGAUGUCUGAAGUAAAAAGAUGGGUUGUAAGAAUGUGAGACGGGGCCCUGUGAGUAUCCAUUACAUAGGUGUUAGUGACGAUCAUGAUCUUCUUCAUAAUGUCAAAGGAGUAAAUAGAUUGACCAUUAUCAUUUAAACUUGGAAAGUACUUACUUUGCAUGACUUGAUGAUCUCUAAUGAGAAAAAUACUGACUACACUGCUCAUGGCAAUAGAGUUAUAAAUUUUUGCAAAUAUGAAACAAUAUUAAAUGUUCAUUAGAUAAUCAGCACUCUAAUAAUGUGGCAUUGCUUGGAGCUCUACUAGGUAAACUGUGCAGUAUAAGAAACCUCUCCAAACAGAAAAUAAUAGAAGUAGAGACUUCCACUAUCACUUAAUUUGUGAUGGAUUAGGAAAGA
This 4294-nucleotide long non-coding RNA is filed under the name Macaca mulatta (Rhesus monkey). RNAcentral describes it as "lncRNA (ENSMMUG00000053102.1)". Lineage: Eukaryota; Metazoa; Chordata; Mammalia; Primates; Cercopithecidae. The record is from RNAcentral.